UCCUGGUUGACCCAGGCAGUCUCAACUGAGAAUACAACAGUUGAUAGGGGUUGCGCUCGUUGCGGGACUUAACCCAACAUCUCACGACACGAGCUGACGACAACCAUGCAGCGCCUGGUCAACAGCUCCUUGCGGCACUACUCCCUUUCGGGAAUAUUCUGUUGAUUUCAAACCCUGGUGAGGUUCUUCGGUCAUUGUCGAAUUAAACCACAUGCUCCACCGCUUGUGCAGGUUCCCGUCAAUUCCUUUGAGUUUUAGUCUUGCGACCGUACUUCCCAGGCGAGACAUUUAACGCGUUAGCUUACGGUUCUGAAAGGGUCGAAACUCCCAAAACCUAAUGUCCAUCGUUUACGGCGUGGACUAC
Molecule: unclassified non-coding RNA, 364 nt
Filed under: uncultured bacterium
Lineage: Bacteria
Description: contains 16S-23S intergenic spacer region
Source: RNAcentral